GCGGGAAUGCUGGAAUUGGCAGACAGGCAUGACUAAGGAUCAUGUGGUUGAAUUACCGUGAGGGUUCAAGUCCCUUUUCCCGCA
Molecule: transfer RNA, 84 nt
Filed under: Lachnospiraceae bacterium
Lineage: Bacteria; Bacillati; Bacillota; Clostridia; Lachnospirales; Lachnospiraceae
Also listed under: 1 other name
Description: tRNA-Leu
Rfam family: tRNA
About the family: Transfer RNA (tRNA) molecules are approximately 80 nucleotides in length. Their secondary structure includes four short double-helical elements and three loops (D, anti-codon, and T loops).
Source: RNAcentral